UACGUGCUCCGGGGUCGGUGAGAAUCCGAACCGGCGGUGACAGUCCGCGAGCCAAGGCAUUAGCAUCCGAAUCGGAUGCCGCCGCGGCUGAUCCGGUGUAAUUCCGGAACCGACGGUGAUGUGGCAGAGGUCUGGGAACAGGGCUCGGCCGCUAGUCCGGAUGGGAGGCAGCACGAG
RNAcentral lists this non-coding RNA (177 nucleotides) under Microbacterium sp. RNAcentral describes it as "FMN sequence". It matches the Rfam family "FMN riboswitch aptamer (RFN element)". From Rfam's summary of the family: The RFN element is a highly conserved domain that is found frequently in the 5'-untranslated regions of prokaryotic mRNAs that encode for flavin mononucleotide (FMN) biosynthesis and transport proteins. The record is from RNAcentral. RNAcentral also lists the same sequence under 1 other name. Lineage: Bacteria; Bacillati; Actinomycetota; Actinomycetes; Micrococcales; Microbacteriaceae.